Molecule: non-coding RNA, 26 nt
Filed under: Rattus norvegicus (Norway rat)
Lineage: Eukaryota; Metazoa; Chordata; Mammalia; Rodentia; Muridae
Source: RNAcentral
UUGUUAUGUAGGUGAGCCUGAAGAAA